This is a non-coding RNA of Podarcis lilfordi (Lilford's wall lizard), 76 nucleotides long. NCBI's taxonomy places the organism in Eukaryota, Metazoa, Chordata, Lepidosauria, Squamata, Lacertidae. The record is from the annotation of a GenBank genome assembly.
UUGGGGUAGCUCAGUUGGUAGAGCAUGAGACUCUUAAUUUCAAGGUCAUGGGUUUGAGACCCAUGUAGGGGAAAAG